CUCCAAGGCUAAAUACUCCUGACUGACCGAUAGUGAACCAGUACCGUGAGGGAAAGGCGAAAAGAACCCCGGCGAGGGGAGUGAAAAAGAACCUGAAACCGUGUACGUACAAGCAGUGGGAGCACCCUUUGGGGUGUGACUGCGUACCUUUUGUAUAAUGGGUCAGCGACUUAUAUUCUGUAGCAAGGUUAACCGAAUAGGGGAGCCGGAGGGAAACCGAGUCUUAAUUGGGCGUUAAGUUGCAGGGUAUAGACCCGAAACCCGGUGAUCUAGCCAUGGGCAGGUUGAAGGUUGGGUAACACUAACUGGAGGACCGAACCGACUAAUGUUGAAAAAUUAGCGGAUGACCUGUGGCUGGGGGUGAAAGGCCAAUCAAACCGGGAGAUAGCUGGUUCUCCCCGAAAGCUAUUUAGGUAGCGCCUCGUGAAUUCAUCUCCGGGGGUAGAGCACUGUUUCGGCUAGGGGGCCAUCCCGGCUUACCAACCCGAUGCAAACUGCGAAUACCGGAGAAUGUUAUCACGGGAGACACACGGCGGGUGCUAACGUCCGUCGUGAAGAGGGAAACAACCCAGACCGCCAGCUAAGGUCCCAAAGUCAUGGUUAAGUGGGAAACGAUGUGGGAAGGCCCAGACAGCCAGGAUGUUGGCUUAGAAGCAGCCAUCAUUUAAAGAAAGCGUAAUAGCUCACUGGUCGAGUCGGCCUGCGCGGAAGAUGUAACGGGGCUAAACCAUG
This 732-nucleotide ribosomal RNA is filed under the name Salmonella enterica subsp. enterica serovar Chester. Its description in RNAcentral is "partial 23S ribosomal RNA". It matches the Rfam family "Bacterial large subunit ribosomal RNA", at positions 458 to 1191 of the family's 2925-position model. Lineage: Bacteria; Pseudomonadati; Pseudomonadota; Gammaproteobacteria; Enterobacterales; Enterobacteriaceae. The record is from RNAcentral.